CGCCUCUUGAUUACCAUAAGAGGUCUAGCCUGCCCAGUGACUUUAGUUCAACGGCCGCGGUAUCCUAACCGUGCGAAGGUAGCAUAAUCACUUGUCCUUUAAAUAAGGACCUGUAUCAAUGGCUUAACGAAGGCUAUACUGUCUCCUUACUCCAAUCAGUGAAACUGAUCUCCCCGUGAAAAAGCAGGGAUAAUAUUAUUAGACGAGAAGACCCCAUGGAGCUUUAAGCCCAGCAACAACCUCCUCCCACUAUUCCCUUUAAAACUUAAAGAUCUUGCUUGCCGCUUUGGGUUGGGGCGACCACGAAGUAUACUAAAACCUUCAUGAUAAAUAGAGCUUGCUCCUUAUCCAUGAGCUACCCCUCUAAGAAUCAGAACCCUGAUAUAAAAUGAUCCGAUUUAAUCGAUCAACGAACCAAGUUACCCUGGGGAUAACAGCGCAAUCCAUUUAAAGAGUUC
Molecule: ribosomal RNA, 458 nt
Filed under: Petropedetes euskircheni
Lineage: Eukaryota; Metazoa; Chordata; Amphibia; Anura; Petropedetidae
Description: partial 16S ribosomal RNA
Rfam family: Bacterial large subunit ribosomal RNA
Source: RNAcentral